RNAcentral lists this long non-coding RNA (731 nucleotides) under Ananas comosus (pineapple). Its description in RNAcentral is "long non-coding RNA (ACOM_LNC027561)". The record is from RNAcentral. Lineage: Eukaryota; Viridiplantae; Streptophyta; Magnoliopsida; Poales; Bromeliaceae.
UAUACCUAUAUAUAUAUAUAUAUAUAUAUAUAUAUAGAGAGCUAGGCUGCUAUACUAUCGGUAGCACGGACGCCUUCGUGCUAUCAAGUUGUUUUCAAUGAUGCCGCUUCUAAAUCGACGAUCAGCUCCGUUAGACUUGAUCUACAUUAUUGAAGGUAUUUGGAAACUAAAUUUUAUAAUUUUUCGGUAUCAUUUACCUAUCAAAUGAGUAGUCUAAAAAUGAACGGCUGAAAGUAAAAAUCUCAUAAAAAAUGAUGAUAGAAGACUUGAAUUUAAGAUCAGAGGUACUGAUCUUACUCUAAAUAGUAAAAAGAAUUUUCUAUAAAAAUUUCAUCUGAUUUAGAUUGUUUUACACCGUUAAAUUUACAAAUGCAUCACAUCUACCAUUAAAAUUGUCAAUUUUGAGACCUUUUGAUCACUAGCCAAAUGAUGUCGAAAAAUUCUGAAAUUUAGUUUCCAAAUACUUUCAAUAGUGUAGAUCAAGUUUAACGGAGCCGAUCGCCAAUUUGGAAGCCGCAUCAUCGAAAACAACUUGGUAGCAUGGAAGCCUCCGUGCUACCGAUAGUAUAGCAGCCGGACUCUAUAUAUAUAUAUAUAUAUAUAUUUGCAAAAAAAGCUUAUAAGUGGAAUGUGGUGGUCCCUGUGCGUGGGUGCACGCUAUCGUAAACCACGUCCUAGUAGGAGAAAACAGGGCCCUGUGCGGGGUUAAAGAACUUGGAAUAUAUGUGCGG